AGCAUUAGAGAAUUUUUUCCUCUGCCUGUGGUUUUUUUCCCCAAAAGGGUUUUCACGUAAAAUCUGUGUGUUCUUAUUUUCACAUUUUCCCCUCAUUUUGUUACUGAAAACUUUUUCUUUGCUGCAUCUCCGUUCUGUUUCUUCAUAUUCUCUUGUUUUGUUUUCAUAAUUUCAAUAUCAAUCUUUAUUCCUCUCUUUUUUCGUUCCUCUACCUAAUACUGCUAUCGUCCUGAUGUUGAACUUACUUAGAGUCAUUUUUGGUCAUCCAUUCUUAGUUGGUUGUGGUCUUUUAAAGGUUUGGAAGGGUAUUAUAACUUUUUGUAAAUUUAAACGUUGUUUUGUAUGAAAGUCAUUUUAUUUUUUUUUUUGGAAAGCUUUUAGUCAGUUGUUGUUGUUGCAAGGUUGUUGGAUUAAUUAUGAUUGAUUCUAUUUAGGUGAGGUUCGUGGGACGCACAACCUUCCUCUAACGAAUUAAGUGUCGUUAGCCGCUAAUUUUCUGGGUAAGUGACCAAAUGCUUAAGUUUAGGGGUUGGUAUUAAGUGAUCAAGUGUCGAAUGCUUAGAUUCAGACUCAAUGUUUCUUUUUAAUGGGUUUGAUUAUGUUUUCAUGCAGAAUUGAUUAGCUGCUAUAGUGUUGGCCCUUCAUUAGCGGUCAGGUGUGUGACCUAACCCGGAAUUUUUGAAAACAAACUUGGAAAUCUUGAAAUUUUGUUAAAACUGAAAGGAGGCUAAUGAUACCACACGACUGUGUUUCGAGCCGUGUGAGACACACGGGUGUGUGGGCCACACGGUCUGGUUGAGGUAGGGCAUGUGGGCUAUUUUGAGUGGUCCGUUGGGCCGCCAUGUUCGGGCCAAGUAUUAAAUUCUAGACUAUAUUCUGUAAUAUUCUGAAUAUGUGUUAAAUCACGAUAUCUGUAAACUUAUGUGUAUGCGUUUCUGUAAAAGUGGGUUUCUGUUCAAUAAGACUCUAAGUAAGCUUAAA
Molecule: long non-coding RNA, 981 nt
Filed under: Gossypium barbadense (sea-island cotton)
Lineage: Eukaryota; Viridiplantae; Streptophyta; Magnoliopsida; Malvales; Malvaceae
Description: long non-coding RNA (GBAR_LNC013389)
Source: RNAcentral